This 492-nucleotide ribosomal RNA is filed under the name uncultured bacterium. RNAcentral describes it as "partial 16S ribosomal RNA". It matches the Rfam family "Bacterial small subunit ribosomal RNA", at positions 29 to 507 of the family's 1533-position model. The record is from RNAcentral.
AGUGAACGCUGGCGGUAGGCCUAACACAUGCAAGUCGAACGGCAGCACAGUAAGAGCUUGCUCUUACGGGUGGCGAGUGGCGGACGGGUGAGGAAUACAUCGGAAUCUACUUUUUCGUGGGGGAUAACGUAGGGAAACUUACGCUAAUACAGCAUACGAUCUACGGGUGAAAGCAGGGGAUCUUCGGAGCUUGCGUGAUUGAAUGAGCCGAUGUCGGAUUAGCUAGUUGGCGGGGUAAAGGACCACCAAGGCGACGAUCCGUAGCUGGUCUGAGAGGAUGAUCAGCCACACUGGAACUGAGACACGGUCCAGACUCCUACGGGAGGCAGCAGUGGGGAAUAUUGGACAAUGGGCGCAAGCCUGAUCCAGCCAUACCGCGUGAGUGAAGAAGGCCUUCGGGUUGUAAAGCCCUUUUGUUGGGAAAGAAAAGCAGCAGGUUAAUACCCCGCUGUUCUGACGGUACCCAAAGAAUAAGCACCGGCUAACUUCGUG